CGCAGCCGCGGUAAUACGAGGGGAGCUAGCGUUAUUCGGAAUUACUGGGCGUAAAGCGCACGUAGGCGGCUUUGUAAGUUAGAGGUGAAAGCCCAGAGCUCAACUCUGGAAUUGCCUUUAAGACUGCAUCGCUUGAAUCCAGGAGAGGUGAGGGGAAUUCCGAGUGUAGAGGUGAAAUUCGUAGAUAUUCGGAAGAACACCAGUGGCGAAGGCGACACACUGGCUCAUUACUGACGCUGAGGCGCGAAAGCGUGGGGAGCAAACAGGAUUAGAUACCCCGGUAGUCCCUGUCUCUUAUACA
Molecule: ribosomal RNA, 301 nt
Filed under: uncultured bacterium
Lineage: Bacteria
Description: partial 16S ribosomal RNA
Rfam family: Bacterial small subunit ribosomal RNA
Source: RNAcentral